RNAcentral lists this ribosomal RNA (590 nucleotides) under Brevibacillus sp. PCAM36. RNAcentral's name for it is "bacterial SSU rRNA". It matches the Rfam family "Bacterial small subunit ribosomal RNA", at positions 170 to 746 of the family's 1533-position model. Lineage: Bacteria; Bacillati; Bacillota; Bacilli; Caryophanales; Paenibacillaceae. The record is from RNAcentral.
CGGAUAGGGUUUUGGAUCGCAUGAUCCGAAACGGAAAGAUGGCGCAAGCUAUUACUUACAGAUGGGCCUGCGGCGCAUUAGCUAGUUGGUGGGGUAACGGCCUACCAAGGCGACGAUGCGUAGCCGACCUGAGAGGGUGACCGGCCACACUGGGACUGAGACACGGCCCAGACUCCUACGGGAGGCAGCAGUAGGGAAUUUUCCACAAUGGACGAAAGUCUGAUGGAGCAACGCCGCGUGAACGAUGAAGGCUCUCGGGUCGUAAAGUUCUGUUGUUAGGGACGAACAAGUGCCGUUCGAACAGGGCGGCACCUUGACGGUACCUAACGAGAAAGCCACGGCUAACUACGUGCCAGCAGCCGCGGUAAUACGUAGGUGGCAAGCGUUGUCCGGAAUUAUUGGGCGUAAAGCGCGCGCAGGCGGUUAUGUAAGUCUGAUGUUAAAGCCCGGGGCUCAACCUCGGUCCGCAUUGGAAACUGCGUAACUUGAGUGCAGAAGAGGAAAGUGGUAUUCCACGUGUAGCGGNGANNUGCGUAGAGAUGUGGAGGAACACCAGUGGCGAAGNNNACUUUCUGGUCUGUAACUGACGC